CAUACCUAAGUGGUGACUUUGGGCUUAAAAUUGUGUUAACAUUGUGAAUGUUGGUUUUGAAUGACUUUACUACCUGUGGAUCAUUAUCAAAGUGACUAAUCCUUCUUAAGAGUGGAGCAUAUGCGUCAAGUUUUACUCAACAACAAUCUGAGAAUACUGUGAAACUGGAGAAAUGCCUUAAGCUCAUACAGCAACUUACAUGCAUUCUAAGGAAGAAGGUAAAACAAAAGCUGAGCUACUGCAGCAUUAGCUGACCAGACAGCUCCUGACCAAGCCUCGGCUUCUAGCAGACAUUGAAUUAUCUCUCCUACUGAAGCAAUGUGAAUCAUAGCAAAGGACUCAUGGAGAAUGGAGAGCCAUGUAUCGUCAGCACAAUGAUAGCAUCUAGUUCAGCAUCUCACUUCUAAACUUCUCAGUGGUUUCCAUAACACUUUGAGUAGGAGGAAAGAAGAGGAGGCAAGGACUAGUCAUACAAUUAGGCAAAUGGCUGUCUACUAUUUACUACUUCCCUGCUACACGUUUUCCCACAAAUACAAGCUCAGUCUCUCCCUAUCUAUACUUGCUGAGGCUGUGGGCUAGUUUAGAAUAGAAUGUAAGCAGCAGAGCACUCAUCAGCUGAAGUCAGCUGAACAAUACACAACAUUGACACAGACAACUUGCUGUUAAUAUCAUCUAGUGAAACUCAUCAUUAGUAUCAUAAAAUAUUUUUAGUUCAAUGCCUGAAGCCACCUAAAAUGGGUGUUAAGAAAUUCAAAAGAAUUUAUUCUUAUGAAAGGUCCUAUCAUCCCUCUUUUCUAGAACCAGGAUAUUCAAGCCAGCUUGCAACAGUCAUAAAUUCUCACAAAUUGCUGACCCAACAGAGGGUUUUCAUCUAUGUGCACGCGGAUGUCACAAAUAGCCAUUAUGCUCACUGAAACAAAGCUACAGAAAAAUCUGAAAACUUACCCAAAGUAAGUCUACAGUAGUCUAGAGCAAGCUGAAUGCUUAUGGCAUCAAUACCAUUUUAGUGGUGUCUGCAUGCACAAAUAUUUUAGUACAGUGUUUUCAGGAUAGUCCCACAAUAAAGGGUAGAGUCAAUGUGAUAUAUAUAUAUAUAGUAUAUAGAUAUAAAUAGCCAUCCACUUGAAUCUACUGAUCAACUUUUCUCACUAACAAGAGAAACUGCUUUUUAAAAGACUGUACACAGCUAGCCCAGCUCCCCAGGUGACCUGAAAGGAAUAAAAUUCUUGUGAUAGGUAAAGCAAGAAGGCUAGGAUAAAGCUACAUUAAACUGGGAGUAAAUGAAUACAUGAAAUUUGUUCCUACUCUGACCAAUGUUAUUAAUUUCCAAAUGACAUAAAAUGAGAAGGAAAGAUGAUUCUGUGCAUAUCCUUUUCAUCUAUACCCUUCUCACGGUUCCACAUCUCAGAAAGAAGAGACUGUUGUAUCACAAGUUUACUUCAUUCGUGUUCUCUUGCAGGAGAUGGAAAGGAAAAGAACUGAUGGUUUGCAGGAAUGCAAAAUAAGGGCACUGGCUACGGCAAUGUCCAGAGAACACGUGGCUUGCAGAAGCUGGAUGGCUUCAUUCUCCCUUGGAAUAACGACACCCAGGAUCUGCCCAGCUCCAGAGCCAUCACUAAGGAUGUGCUAUAUAUAACACAGGAUAUAAGGAUAUAUAUAUGUAUAUAACACAGAUAUAACAAAGGAUGUGUUAGAUACAUGUUUUAAGGGUCAGGCAACUAGGGCAAGUGUAAUUUUACCACUGCAUGUCCUCCAUGAACAGGUGUUUCUCAAAUCAGAGAACAACCCAAGUUGGAAGGAUGGUCCACAGGGACCACUGAGACAAACUCCUGUCUCCACUCAGGACCACCCUGAAGCCCUCAUUCAAACCUUAUGUCUGAGAGCAUUGUCCAAACACCCCUUCAGCUCCGGCAGCUUGGGGCCAUGAUCACUCCCCUGGGGAGCUUUUUCCAUGCCCGUAGUCCUCUGGAGAAGAACCUUUUUCCAGUGCAGCUCCAUGAACUCAUCUGAGUCCAUUGUGCAGCCCAAUUAUUCAGGCCUCUGGUUGGGUAGCAGAAUUAUGUUUGGCCAACGAGGCUGCCAAAUACUUCAAAAAACAACUGGCUACUAGGCAUUAUGUUGGUCCUGGUGUCACACAGAUGGCACUUCUUGGUUAGUUUCAGGGAAAAAGUGUCAGAGCAGGGAUCUGAGAAGACUUGAAGUACAAUUUUACAUUAGUCCUACAGAUACAGGGUACUGCCAAAGGUGUGAAAUUCUUAAAUAGAAAUAUCAAGAAUAUUACAAAGAAUAAUCUACAGGUGUGAUAGUAUAAUUUAAAAGAUCCCACUGAACCCUGGCUUUCAGCUAUUACUCUGACAUGUACAUAUAAAGACUCUCAAUUUCCCCCAUUUUUUUCACCACUCAUAAUUUUCUAUAUAUUACACAAUAAUUCCCAUUUAUACACUAAUUCUCUUUCUCCUUUCAUCUGUUAACCGUCAGGUUCCCAAAUGCCUACAGUACAUGUGUUGCCUCUGCCUUCAGUGUUUUUCCAUCCUCUUCCACUCCUUCAUUGCUCAUCUUCAUUCUCAAACAAAUCCAGGACAGGUAGCUGUGUGCAGCACUCAGAUUAGCUAGCCUAAGCACAGGAAUCCCUAAAAGAUAACCAUGCUUCCGCAUGUGCAUCUGUUUCAGUAGUUGUUCUUACAUGUCUCUGAAUGUAUUUAACAUAAUUAUAUGUGUUAUUGCACCAGGAUUCAUCAUUAUAGAACAGUCAAAAAAGUCUAUCCCACAGAGUGUGGAGAGGGGAUUUUGAGGAAUGCAUUGUAAUACUACCAGUACAUCAUCUGUUUUGCUCUAUUUCCCAUAGUAUGUUAUUUAAUUUAGCCUUGAUAAAGUACUGGGAGGCUUUAAACCAUGCUCUUAGUCAUGAAAAUGUUCACAAAGCAGAAAACAGAAAAUGUUUUCUGCAUGGAACAAAGGGAACAAAAGGCAAGAAUUAUACCUAAAAGUACCAGGCUACAGUGUGAACAGAUUUUAUUGGACAUUUGUAUAAAAUGUCAGAGCACUUCAUUCUGGAGUAAUUCUGUCCUUAUUGCUCAUUUUUCUUCCCCCUUCUACUUCAGAGCUUCUUUUUCAGUACUUUUUUUUUUUUUUUUUUUUUUUUUUUUACUUUUGAAAUCUCUGCUUCUUAAAGACCACUUUUGCAUCCGUGUUUUUUUUUUUCUUUUCUUUUUUUCCCCAUGGUUUUAAAUCUACAUGUUCAGAAGUAAAUCCUGUGGCUCCUCCUGUUUCCCAGCUGUUUAGUGCUUCUCAUGCUACCUCCCUCUUGCCUGCUUAAAGAAAACACAGGGGGGAUGCUUAGGAACUGAGAAAAGGAAAAUAGUGAAUGGUUUAAAACACUGAGGAUCACAAUAGCCAGAAAAGUUGUGAGACAGAGGACAGAAUAGUUGAAGUUGAGGCAGCUUAUUUUUAGUCCUUCUUUUCCCAGCAGCUUGUUUGCUUCCUAUAACUGAGUCUGGAUUGCAGUAACAUCUCUACAAAGUAUUUCAGAACAGCCUAAUGUCCUAACAAGGAGUAUGUCCAGUUUUCCAUUUUCAAGAAGUUCAGGCACCCUGCAAGCAAAACUUGGCUCUGUAAAAAUCUCAGAAGCGGGCAAUUUUAACUAGCCUGAGAUAGAGGAGGUAAGAGUGAUCCUGUCUGUAGUCAGCCUUUGCAGCCUCAAAGUAUGGACAUCUUCAGCAUUAGAGGAGCGCAGAGAUAAGGGAGGCAUUGUUGCACAUAUAACACUUCCCAUUUUCCAUGCUGCUUCAGCUGUUAAAUUUUCAUCUGCCUGUAGAUGCUGAAAUAUAUCCACAAAUUGAAGACUCCUAUACCUCAAAUGAAACUAACAUAUAAAGGAUAAUGUUUUACAAGUGAAAUGAAUAGGUAGAGUCCGCACAAACACUGAUUUCCAGGUGAAUCCCGCAUAGCUGGGAAACAGAAGAUAUGAAGACACACAUGCUCACAGGUGGUCCAUGUGCUCAUGGAUUUCAUGAGGAGCAUCCCACUGGUUUCAGCAGGAGACAGAUUCCAACCCCUCGGCACAGUAAAACCACACAUUUCUUCCAUCAGUGGCAUGGAGCACUGGCAGGGACACAAACCCAGUUCCUGAGAUUCUGAGAAGACAACACUUGCUCAGCUUUGCAAAAGCCAUCUGGGAUCUUCAGAUAUAAGGACUGAAAUGUUACCUGUUUCAACCUGCAGGAAUAUUGCCACCAGGUUUGGGAAGGCCUGGAUUUCACCUAAAGCACUGCAAACAACAUGUUUACAUCUGCAUCUUAUUGAUCGCUUUUUGUUGGCCUGUUUGAAAAAAGUAACAGGAGAAUGGGGGGGGGGAACCACACACACACACAAAAAAAAAAAAAAAGAAAGAAAAAGAGAAAAAAUAAAUGAAUUGCAGGGUGGAAGGAGUGGGAAAAGAGCUCGGUUGUGAGGGAGCCACAGCAAUACUACUAAAACAACUACUUUGUUUUAUAUUGGGUCUACUUCCAUGGCAUCUAACACCACAUGUAAAUGCUAAUACUCCCUGAAUGUUAUCACUUCAUGAAGGUUCAACAGCAAAGUGAUCUAAAAGACAGUGCUGUAAUGAAAUGCCAUGAGGUUAGGAACUGUCAGCACUCCAUCGCAAACCACCACAACACGCAAUGAACUGGGAAAUUAGCAAACUUUCUCCAAUAUAUACUAAAGGUAAAAAGAAUAAAAGAUAUAUAAAUGAAUAUUCUGUUAUCUGCAGACAUCACUGUGGUGUUACAACACCAGACAAGAACACAGUGCAUCAGAAAUGACAAAUAAGGGAUCCCACUUUUCUGAUCCUUUUAUUGGGAAGAUGUAGUGAUUUCUGAAUCUCCACCCAGAUAAGGAAACUUCAGUCUAAAAAUUUUCUGUUCUAUGAAAUACUCAUAGAUAAGGCACUUCCACCUUUUAAAAUAAUGAAUUAAAUGCUUGCUCUGCAAAAUGCACCUACGCUGUAUGCAAGGAUGUUGACCUCUCGCCAUCGCUUCCUAUGAGUUCACACAACGCAGCGGUGACACGGGGCCAUGGGGAAGCCCCCGCACUCUGCACGCACGUGUCACCUCCCGCACUCCUCCACCCCUGCACGGAGCAUCCCACACAGCUCCCGGCCUGGGCUGCUGGCGGGGCAGUCGCAGCUCAUGGUGGCUGCAGGAAGCGGCACAUCUGCCCUCGGCGCGCCCCGCUGCC
RNAcentral lists this long non-coding RNA (5217 nucleotides) under Gallus gallus (chicken). Its description in RNAcentral is "lncRNA (ENSGALG00010006258.1)". The record is from RNAcentral. Lineage: Eukaryota; Metazoa; Chordata; Aves; Galliformes; Phasianidae.